Long non-coding RNA from Xenopus laevis (African clawed frog), 2582 nucleotides. RefSeq lists it as uncharacterized. Lineage: Eukaryota; Metazoa; Chordata; Amphibia; Anura; Pipidae. The transcript has 2 exons. The record is from RefSeq and is a predicted model, not a curated record.
UCUUGAAACAGUUCAUAGAAGGGCCCCAUGGGCACUUUGAAACUGCUCAGUCUACCUUGGAGGGGGGCUUAGGAAUGCGAGGGGCCAUCUAGGGCCUGCAAGACUUUUCCUUCCACAAUCCCCCGUUUUGUCAGUUCUUCUGACAACCAUAAUACAAAACAAACAAUUAAACAUAGCAUACCUUAUAAAUGCAAUGCAUACAACCUAUAUGAGAAUACAUCUGGUAUAUAAUGUUCAUACACUGUGGUGGUUCAUUGGAGUCAAUUUUUAGACUUUUAGUGUUCUUAGGAUAGAACAGAACAGGUUUAGAAGAACUUGCCUUUAGAAAAGAGUAAGACAAUAAGGAGGUACAGCAAGAACAACAGCAACAAAUGAUGUUAGGAAGACAAUAGAUGAUUAGGAUAAGGCCACCAACACAAACAAGAGCAUACAAGAUGAAAUGAAAAAUCUUAGAGAACCAAACACCUAUGUCUUGGAACCAAGUGGAUGGGUCCAACCAGGGGAAGAUGGAUUGUUCCUUGUGAUUGGUUAAAAAGGUGUCCUUCCUCUGCUAAACCUUUACCAGGUGCUUGUCAUCAAUGUAAUUACAACUGUACCUAACCCUCCUUGACUAGCUGGAAGAUAAUAUAACACUAAACAAUGCGGCAGAACUUCCUUCUUCAAUUGUUGGAGUUCAUGACUUACUAUCUUCAAACUGUUGUCAUAUUCAUUAGUAAUGUUAUCAAGCAACAACAUACUAGACAUAAGGCUAAAGGCUUUCUUAAUGCAACAUCCAUUUACCUCAGGGGAAGUUAAAGAGAGCUCUUGCCUUACCUUUAAAGAUGCACGCUUCAUUAGGAAGUGUGCUGGAAUCUGAGCUAUCUUAAUAUCUGUAGCUUCCAUAUACCAGGUGGGAUGAAGCAAUUUAGCAAUCAUACAUACCCCAUGGGAGCCUUUUGGUAGCCACGGAUAGGCACAUUCACCACAAACAAAGUAAUAAGCGGAACUGUUGAUACAAAGGCCAUCAGAACAUAAGUGUACCAACUUACCAAUAUCCUUGGGCGACACCGUUUUAUGAAACUGGAGAAGUGUCAAAUUACCCCAAGGCCUGUUAACUAUAUCCUGACAGGAUAGAGAUUCUGCUACGUAUGUUAUACUGCGAGCUGACAAAGGAUAAUGUGUACAUAUCCAUCAAGCAAUAAUAGUGUGGAUGCUGCUAUAACAUACAUUUUAACAAAAGCAUUAUCAUUAGGCUCAAACAGUUAUGCAUAUAAGUCUCUUUUGACAACCUUAACCUGAUCGGUUGACGACAUAUUAGCCUCCGAAGUUGGUGAGGCUGCUGUUUGUUUACUUGUGAGUUGUCGUUGCCUGCAGGCUUUAUGAGUGCUAUCGUCAGCACAGCAACGAAGAUAAUGAUGUGCAGUACGGAGACACAGAUGAUAAGUCUUUUAUCUGGCUUUGGGCCAAAGCAUCUUGCACACAGAGACAUGAUGGUGCUGCUGAGGAUCUUCACCCGAUGGGGACCUACGUCUUUUGCACUGCACGUUAGGGUCCCUGGGACUUAGGUGGUGGAGGGAAAGAGGCGUUAUUAUGUCCUACAAUUCCCCCCCACUUACACCGCAGGUGGAAGUUGAGAUUUCGGUUUCCCUUCAACCUUUACAGCUGUUUCUGUGACUAGGAGUACCUGGAAUGGUCAUUUUCAGCGAGGUUGAAGAUCUUUGGCACUGUGUCUCCUUAUGAGGAUCCAAUCUCCUGGAAUGAGAUCAUGUGGUUCCAGAACAUCCGCUGGAUCUGGUAAUGAAGAAUAAACUCGAGAACACAAUUUGGUCAGUUCCUUAUGUAACUGAGAAACAUAUUCAGUCAUUCGUCCAUAGUUCAUGCAAAGAAGAUGAGUAGAAGGAAAGUACUGAGCCAUGCGUGCUUGUCUCCCAAACAAUAUUUCAUAUGGGGAGAGUUUACUUAGCCUUUGGGGAGUGUGCAUGACAGACAUAAGCACUAUAUCAAGGGCAUCUGGCCACACAAGUUUAGUCUCUGCACAUACUUUACUUAGCCUGCUUUUAAUAACACCCUUUAGACUUUCCCACUAGCUUGGGGAUGAAAUGGUGUGUAACAUUUGAUGAAUCCCAAUGUCUUUGUGCAGAUUAAUUACAUCACCUGUCCCGUGAAACGUGUACCUUGAUCAGAGGAUAAUACCUCAGGCAGUCCAUAACUGCCAACAAUCUCUGCAAUUAACUCAUUAGCUAUAGCUUCAUCUGAAGCUUUUACAAUGGACCCAGGGAAUUGGUCAACACAAACAAUUACAUAUUCAUAGGUACAACAUGUAGGUAACUGUAGGAAAUCUAUCUGCAAUAUCUGAAAUUGUUACGGUGGUUUAGGUCAGUGUUUGAUAGGUGUUGGAAUAGUCUUACCUAGAUUAUAUUGCAAACAAAUAAAACAUAAUUAUACAUACUUGGCUGCAAUAGAUGAGAACCCGGGGGCAAACCACAUUCCGGACACUACAUCACAUAUCCCCCCAUAAAAAGUGUGGGUGAGAUCAUGUGAGGCAGCAACCAAAUAUGGUAACAGAGCACGGGGUGCAACAGGGCAAUCACCUAAAUGCCAAA